AUCUGUGGCCAUACUACCCUGCAAGCACCCAAUCUCAUCUUACCUUGGAAGUCAAGCAGGGUCAGGCCUGGUUAGUACUUGGAUAGGAGACUGCCUGGGAAUACCGGGUGCUGUAGGCG
This 119-nucleotide ribosomal RNA is filed under the name Varanus komodoensis (Komodo dragon). Lineage: Eukaryota; Metazoa; Chordata; Lepidosauria; Squamata; Varanidae. The record is from RNAcentral.